Molecule: unclassified non-coding RNA, 391 nt
Filed under: fungal sp.
Lineage: Eukaryota; Fungi
Description: partial internal transcribed spacer region
Rfam family: Eukaryotic small subunit ribosomal RNA (bases 1-46)
Source: RNAcentral
AAGUCGUAACAAGGUUUCCGUAGGUGAACCUGCGGAAGGAUCAUUAACACGUAUCCAAACGUUAAACCCCCCCCGUGAACCUUCAUCCCGCUCUUGUAACCCGCGAAGCUUGCAAUCUCUGGUAAAUCAUAGCCCGGAAAGUAGUUUGAUUCAGAGACCUCUGGCCCGUGCGAACAUUGGAACAGUUACAAUCGACUGCGGUAGUUCUAUAGGCAUUGUUUCCCCAAGCAGUCAGUGUCUGAAAGUGUCAUUGAUUGUGCAAGGAUAGCGCUUCACGAUUCCUGCAGACCGUACACUCGGGCCAAAGGACCCCACAGUUUAAUGUGAAGCUCAAUGUAAUACAUUGGGUAAAAAAACCGAACAACUGUUAACAAUGGAUAUCUUGGUUCUC